This is a non-coding RNA of Ciona intestinalis (vase tunicate), 1193 nucleotides long. The record is from RefSeq and is a predicted model, not a curated record. NCBI's taxonomy places the organism in Eukaryota, Metazoa, Chordata, Ascidiacea, Phlebobranchia, Cionidae.
CCGCCGGCCGGAUACACGUGCACGUGACAUUAGAAUUAUGGAUAUUCUGUUAAUAUCAGAAAGAAACCAGUUGAGCGACAUGUACCGCCUGCAAAAGUCAGGCACAGCUAAGUUAGAAAAGAAUUCAUGGUGAGAAAAAAAGUUGCAGCUUGUAGGUAGCAUUUUUAACUCAAACACUGUUGAAAGGUAGUCAAUACAUUUGAAGCAGAAGUCAUGAAGCUGAAGCUUUGUGAGGGAAUUGAUCCUACAUGCUAAACACGAAAUUGUAGAAUUAAUCAUCUUCAACAAUCUGAUGAUUGAUUGUCAUCAAGGUCUAUCACUAGAUCACCAGGAUGUAAAUAGCUAGAAUAUAGGAACCAACUCUGCUGGCAUCAAUUCAGUUGCUGUGGAGUCAAUGAAGGAGACUUCAAGAACUAGUAGAAGGUUAAAAGGUUUGUUUAUUCAUUUUCAGACUUCUUGGGUGUUUUUUUGAUAAUGACGUAUUUUGUAAUUUCAGUAAAGGAAGGCUUGUUAAAUCAAGAUGGCCAGUUGGUUGGCUUUGUAGACUUUGGAGAUCGCACAGUAGAUACAAAAAUUGCAACACAUAUUUGUAUUAAGUAGUACAAUAAUAUUUCUGUAUUAUUUUCAUUUCUAACAUUUUUUAUUAGUGUUUUAUGUGCGAUCAGUGAAGGAAGAAAUCUCCAUGCCUCCAUCAUUGUGGCCAAGUACUGUCACCACAGAACUUCAAUUGAUGUCUACUUUUUGGGAAACGGUUGGCAGAUGUGAGACUAACCGUGCAUGUUAAUGCAAAUAUGCAAUUGUUGCUGAUGGUGGUCCGACGAAUCAAACAAUAUUUUCAAUUUUACAUGAAGGGUCAUACACUAUGUGUGAAGGUGACGUUACUGCUCCAAACCCAUACUAUUUAUAUUUGUACCGAUCCUAUAAAAACUAAUUCUAAUUCUAGACUUGCCUGUUAAAAGUUAACAGGAUUACUUGAGUACGUGGCAUAUCUCUUACUUUAAGGAUUCUCAUCUAAGUAAUUCUUAGCGGUUACUAUGUGAAGUGUUCAUAAAGAACGAAAAAGACAGACGUGGGGGUUCUUUCCUACACAAUCCCUUCUGUUGUUUACACUGUUUUCCUAUACUUAAUUUUUUUAUGUUGCAUUAUGUUUUAAAUCAGGUUUCUUAAGUAAAAAUUUCAAAACAUAAAAUGAA